RNAcentral lists this ribosomal RNA (414 nucleotides) under Escherichia coli. Its description in RNAcentral is "partial 23S ribosomal RNA". It matches the Rfam family "Bacterial large subunit ribosomal RNA", at positions 2535 to 2925 of the family's 2925-position model. Lineage: Bacteria; Pseudomonadati; Pseudomonadota; Gammaproteobacteria; Enterobacterales; Enterobacteriaceae. The record is from RNAcentral.
GCUCAUCACAUCCUGGGGCUGAAGUAGGUCCCAAGGGUAUGGCUGUUCGCCAUUUAAAGUGGUACGCGAGCUGGGUUUAGAACGUCGUGAGACAGUUCGGUCCCUAUCUGCCGUGGGCGCUGGAGAACUGAGGGGGGCUGCUCCUAGUACGAGAGGACCGGAGUGGACGCAUCACUGGUGUUCGGGUUGUCAUGCCAAUGGCACUGCCCGGUAGCUAAAUGCGGAAGAGAUAAGUGCUGAAAGCAUCUAAGCACGAAACUUGCCCCGAGAUGAGUUCUCCCUGACUCCUUGAGAGUCCUGAAGGAACGUUGAAGACGACGACGUUGAUAGGCCGGGUGUGUAAGCGCAGCGAUGCGUUGAGCUAACCGGUACUAAUGAACCGUGAGGCUUAACCUUACAACGCCGAAGGUGUUU